This 405-nucleotide ribosomal RNA is filed under the name uncultured bacterium. Its description in RNAcentral is "bacterial SSU rRNA". It matches the Rfam family "Bacterial small subunit ribosomal RNA", at positions 355 to 774 of the family's 1533-position model. The record is from RNAcentral.
UGGGGAAUAUUGGGCAAUGGGCGCAAGCCUGACCCAGCAACGCCGCGUGAAGGAAGAAGGCUCUCGGGUUGUAAACUUCUUUUAAGAGGGACGAAACAAAUGACGGUACCUCUUGAAUAAGCCACGGCUAACUACGUGCCAGCAGCCGCGGUAAUACGUAGGUGGCAAGCGUUAUCCGGAUUUACUGGGUGUAAAGGGCGUGUAGGCGGGAAGGCAAGUCAGAUGUGAAAACUAUGGGCUCAACCCAUAGCCUGCAUUUGAAACUGUUUUUCUUGAGUGAUGGAGAGGCAGGCGGAAUUCCGUGUGUAGCGGUGAAAUGCGUAGAUAUACGGAGGAACACCAGUGGCGAAGGCGGCCUGCUGGACAUUAACUGACGCUGAGGCGCGAAAGCGUGGGGAGCAAACA